GUUUAUCAGCAAUUUGAGCUACAGUAGAUCUUCCGUGAGAUCAGACCAGACUGGCUAGCCUCGCUCCCCACAUGGAUCAACAUGCCUUGGGCACCCACAAGCCUGAUGCCGGUUCACUGGUUGUCCUUCCUCGCACCACUUUUGGUAGGCACUAACCACUGCGCACCGGGAACACCCCUGCAAGACUUGUCUUUAUGGAGAUGGUCUAACCCAGUCGUCUAGCCAUCACUAUGUGGCCCUUGUCAAAGUCACUCAGAUCUUUUUGCUUGUCCAUUUUUCCUGUUUCCAACACAUGGAAUUCAAGAACUGACUGUUC
This is a non-coding RNA of Pelobates cultripes (western spadefoot toad), 316 nucleotides long. NCBI's taxonomy places the organism in Eukaryota, Metazoa, Chordata, Amphibia, Anura, Pelobatidae. The record is from the annotation of a GenBank genome assembly.